RNAcentral lists this unclassified non-coding RNA (281 nucleotides) under Azospirillum lipoferum. RNAcentral's name for it is "16S-23S intergenic spacer". The record is from RNAcentral. Lineage: Bacteria; Pseudomonadati; Pseudomonadota; Alphaproteobacteria; Rhodospirillales; Azospirillaceae.
CUAAGGAAGCCGACCCUGGUGGGUCCGGCACCUUCAAGUCCAGAUGGCGCAUCUCUGCCGCCGCCGGCGCAUCCCUUCUCGACGAUCCGGAACACCCGCUGACAGUGCAUCCGCACUGUCUCGGCCGGAUUGACGAGAAGCGCUUGGCGUUUUGAAAUUUUCAAAACGCGGGAUCUUUCAAAUCGUGAAUAAAGUCGAGUUUUAAGUGACCGAGGAUGCAUCUUCAUGAGCGUCCACGAGGCAGGAGCGGUUUGCCCCUGUGCGUGACGUUCGGAAUAGAG